Molecule: transfer RNA, 76 nt
Filed under: Candidatus Nealsonbacteria bacterium CG07_land_8_20_14_0_80_40_10
Lineage: Bacteria; Candidatus Nealsoniibacteriota
Also listed under: 2 other names
Description: tRNA-Arg
Rfam family: tRNA
About the family: Transfer RNA (tRNA) molecules are approximately 80 nucleotides in length. Their secondary structure includes four short double-helical elements and three loops (D, anti-codon, and T loops).
Source: RNAcentral
GCCCUCGUAGCUCAAUGGAUAGAGCGUCAGAUUGCGGAUCUGAAGGUUAGCCGUUCGAAUCGGCCCGAGGGCGCCA